This 3255-nucleotide long non-coding RNA is filed under the name Sus scrofa (pig). RNAcentral's name for it is "lncRNA (ENSSSCG00050016637.1)". Lineage: Eukaryota; Metazoa; Chordata; Mammalia; Artiodactyla; Suidae. The record is from RNAcentral.
CAUCUUUUCCUUACUUUUAAACUAUUCUAAAAUAAAAAAAGCUUAUUAAAACUGCACAGAAAAUCAAAGGAACCAAAAUUCAGGAUUAUGUCUACCUCUGGCAAGGAAAACAGAGCAAGGAUAUACAUGGGGGAGUUCACAAAGAUGGGUAGUAUUUUCUUGAGGUGACAUUUAUAUUUUUAUUUUUAAUAUUAAAGUGUACUUCAUAAACCCUUUGGCAUGGAUAUUUUACAAGUUUGAAAAAAGCAACGACGAUCUGAAGAUAAAUUGUACAGAGAUAGAAGGAACUUUAAGGGGUAGGUUAUUCAGAGAGGUUUUUUGGGGGAAGUCAUACUCAAUUGGCCAAUGAAUUUAAUUGGAAUGUUACAGCUAUAAUUGAUUUGGAUUUGAAGAUGGACUAUGAAACUGCAAUUAUGCAUUGUGCCCAGUACUUUUAUAAGAGUAAAGUUAGAAAGGUCAUCUUUCCAAUGUGAGAAAUGUAUUUGGCAGGGCAUUUGAAAGGGGAUGCUCUGAGAAUUAUGCAUAUUAAUUUGCCUUAGAAAAGCGAAUAAUGAUGCUCAAAGUGAUAAUAAUAGCUACCAUUUAUUUAUGCCUAUUAUGAGCUUAAUCACAAGUCGACUGCUUUCCAAAUCCUGCUGAAGGUGGUGCAUAGAGAAUUGAUAAUCAAAAGAAAUGUUCAGUAAACUUUUAUUGCUACUGGGUGUAUUCAUUUUAUUAUUACUCAUAUUCUGCCCACCACCUUACAUAUAUUUUGGUUUAUUGUGGCUGGAUAAUGAAAGAUAUCCACUCACUACUCCUUAGAACUUGUGAAUAUAUUGUCUUUUGUGGCAUAAGGGACUUUGCAAAUGAGAUCAAGUGCAAGAUCUUAAAAUGGGGAGAUCAUGCCGGAUUACAUGGAUGGGUCCAGUGUAAUUACCUGGGUGCUCAUAAGAGGGAUACAGGAUGAGUCAGAAUCAGAAAAGGAGAUGUGAUGAUGGAAUCAGAGGUUGAACUGAUGUGCUUUUAAGAGUGAGGAUGGAUCCAUGGACGCAGGCGUAAGAACAGCUUUUAUAAGCUGGAAAAAGACAAGAUAGACUCUACCUUAAGGUUCCAGAAGGAACACAGCCUUGAUGACACUUAUUUGGGCUUCUGACAUCCAAAAUUGAAUGAACUCAGUCUGUGCUUUUUUUACAUCACUGAGUUUUUGGCCAUUUAUUAUAGUGACAAUAGGGAACUAAUAGGUUAUGAAAUCCCAUAAGAACUCUCGGGACUGGGGCUCAGAUUCCUCAAUUUAUAAAUGAAGAUUUGAUCUUAGUAAAAUUAAGGAAUGUGUUCAGCUCUUCUCUUGGCAGAGCUGAGAUUUGAACCCAAAUUCCUCUUCCUCUGAAGUCUAUUCCCUUUCAGCCCUCCUUGACCAGCAUAAUGGAGAGGCCCCAGAGGUAAGUUUGCCUCCACUGGAAUCCUACUUUAUUACUGCUAAGGCAGAGUUACUUAACAUCUUCAGAAGGAAUCCUAACUCCAUUUUACCUAGGCUUCUUCAUCAACAUAAUAGGUAGAAUAAAAGUACUUACCCUACAGCUUUGUUGUGGGAAGUAAAGGAAAUAAUCUUAAGCAUUAAGAACACAUAUUUAUAUCUACCUGAAUAGUCUGGAGUCCCUUUCAACCCAAUAUGUCCAAGGUUUAAUUUAUUAUCCAAACUCAAACCUACUCCACCUCCCAUGUACUCUCUUUACUCUUAUAGCUUUAUCACCCACUUUAUGGUUUUUGUACCUUAUCUUCUAACUUCCAGCUAGAAACCUUGUCAUCUGUGACUUCCACUUCUGUCGUACACACAUUUUGGAAAUUGAAUUGUUUACAUGUAAUAUGAUUCACUUGUCAUCUAAAUGUGGGCAAUUUACAUGGUCAACUGUUUUUCCUUCUCCCUUCCCCCACAAUCUAGAAGCCUCUUCCACUGUUAUUGCCAAUAUUUCAUUAGAAAUUCCUGUUCAGGUCUUAUUUUCCCUUAGAAAUUGUUAAAGAAUUCCAAAACUGAUUCCAUUUAGAGAAAGACACUUUUUUCUUUCAAGUGCUAGAUGAAGCUUGGCACUGCCCUUGAUGUUACUGCUGAAGAGAGGCCUGCUUGUCUACUCUGCAGUGAGGUCACUGCUGGUCCAGGUCCCAUCCCAGGCCACAAGUGCCUGUGGGCUCACGCUUCAAGGUUGUUGCUGAAACUUGGCCUCUGUCGACCCGUACCCAAUAGAAAUGUGGAGACGGAAUUGUGUAAAGGAGAAAGGAGUGGCUUUUAUUGCUUUGCCAGGCAAAGGAGGCCACAGGUGGUUAAUGCCCUCAAGACUGCCCUCCUUUGGGAGAGAAGAGGAGUUAACAUCUUCCAUUUGGUGGGGGUUAGAGUUGUGCAGAAGAGCUGAAAGAUGUUUCAAUUAGUAUCCCUUGAGGGGGAACCAGGACUCUGCCCCAAGGCUGCACUAUUGCUUCUUGACUGCUCCUCCCUGGUCUCUGGAUCCCCUCCCUUCCCUGAUGAGUAACAGGUUGAACCCACCCUUUGGAACUCAGGGAAGGUCAUGGAGGCUGAAUGAGACUUGCUUCCUAAAAUCUUGAAAUAGAGGACACAGAAAGACUUUUGUACCCAGGAGUGCCACAAGGCCCUGCUCCAUUUCAUUGGUGGCUCCCUCAGUUCACCUCAUCAUGCUCAGGUGUUGUUUCCUAGACCUGUGCAUUCAGGACAGCAUGGUGGGUACUGAAUGCAGGCAUUAUUGACCAUAGUCUUUUCCAGAGCCAUCCAAACCCAACUCAUAAAUUCCAGGUCUGAGCCCGUCAAUAAUUGAGACACGCAUCUCCACUCAACACAACUCAUCCUUUUACAGUAAGUUCCGUUCUGGGGCAUUUUCUUUCCAUCAACAUCUUCCUGGUCCAUAGCGACAUAGUGUCUAAUAUUUGAGCUGUAUGAGGAGAAAAGAUCAAUAUUGCGUUCUUAAAAAACAUUGACAGUUUUCUUCCCAGAAAGUCUGUUUUAUUCAUGUAUGGUAUUUAAAAUUUUUCUCACACGCCCAUGUACACCGAGAGAUACUGGAAAGGUACAGGUGAUAUAAGUCAAGGACAUGAUUGUAUCAAAACUUUCUGAGAACUGGAGUUCCCUAUGUGGUGCAGUGAAAAUGAAUCUGACUAGUAUCCAUGAAGAUGUGGGUUUGAUCGCUGGCCUUGCUCUGUUGCCAUGAGCUGCGGUGUAGGUCACAGACACGGCUUGGGGCUUGGAUCUGACGUUGCUGUGAUUGUGGUGUA